AACGAACGCUGGCGGCGUGCUUAACACAUGCAAGUCGAACGCGAAAGGGACUUCGGUCCUGAGUAAAGUGGCGCACGGGUGAGUAACGCGUAGAUAACCUGUCUUCAUGUCUGGAAUAAUACGCCGAAAGGGGUACUAAUACCGGAUAUUCUUGCUUUUCAUAAGUUAUGCAAGCAAAGGUGGCCUCUGCAUAUGCUACUGCAUGAAGAGGGGUCUGCGUACCAUUAGCUAGUAGGUGGGGUAAUGGCCUACCUAGGCGACGAUGGUUAGCGGGUCUGAGAGGAUGAUCCGCCACACUGGCACUGGAACACGGGCCAGACUCCUACGGGAGGCAGCAGUGAGGAAUAUUGCGCAAUGGGGGAAACCCUGACGCAGCGACGCCGCGUGAGUGAGGAAGGCCCUUCGGGUCGUAAAGCUCUGUCAAGAGGAAAGAAGUGUACAAUGGCUAAUACCUGUUGUAUUUGACAGUACCUCUAAAGGAAGCACCGGCUAACUCCGUGCCAGCAGCAGC
This 511-nucleotide ribosomal RNA is filed under the name uncultured bacterium. Its description in RNAcentral is "bacterial SSU rRNA". It matches the Rfam family "Bacterial small subunit ribosomal RNA", at positions 29 to 518 of the family's 1533-position model. The record is from RNAcentral.